RNAcentral lists this transfer RNA (71 nucleotides) under Nippostrongylus brasiliensis. It matches the Rfam family "tRNA". Rfam says of the family: Transfer RNA (tRNA) molecules are approximately 80 nucleotides in length. Their secondary structure includes four short double-helical elements and three loops (D, anti-codon, and T loops). Further hydrogen bonds mediate the characteristic L-shaped molecular structure. tRNAs have two regions of fundamental functional importance: the anti-codon, which is responsible for specific mRNA codon recognition, and the 3' end, to which the tRNAs corresponding amino acid is attached (by aminoacyl-tRNA synthetases). tRNAs cope with the degeneracy of the genetic code in two manners: having more than one tRNA (with a specific anti-codon) for a particular amino acid; and 'wobble' base-pairing, i.e. permitting non-standard base-pairing at the 3rd anti-codon position. The record is from Rfam by way of RNAcentral. Lineage: Eukaryota; Metazoa; Nematoda; Chromadorea; Rhabditida; Heligmosomidae.
GUCUCAGUAGCAUAGUGGUUGGUGCACAGCUCCGGAUAAGUUGAGACGCGGGUUCGAUUCCCCCUGAGAUG